UUGGUCAUAGAGCUUCCCCUCUCUUGGAAGUCAUAUCUUUGGGCUUGGUGCGAUUGGGCAAAGCUCUCUCCUUGAUGUGAUUUCUUCGGGCUUAGUGGUCAGCCCAAUCUGAGUUCGGUAAAGAGCGUCCGAAUCUUAUCCUCCAUUCGCGCCUCGAAGGCUUUGAAUUUAGCAUUGAUUACCUCCUCAGAUGCCAUAGUAUAUGCUGCCAAAUCUGUGAUGUUAAGAUCUCUCUUUUGUUGUCAGGUUAAAGGCAUGUAUUGGUUGAGAGAGGUGAUGGUCGAAAGGGUUG
Molecule: long non-coding RNA, 292 nt
Filed under: Musa acuminata (dwarf banana)
Lineage: Eukaryota; Viridiplantae; Streptophyta; Magnoliopsida; Zingiberales; Musaceae
Description: long non-coding RNA (MACU_LNC011107)
Source: RNAcentral